CACGUAGGGUGCGAGCGUUGUCCGGAAUUAUUGGGCGUAAAGAGCUCGUAGGCGGUGUGUCGCGUCGGCCGUGAAAACUUGGGGCUUAACCCUGAGCUUGCGGUCGAUACGGGCAUGACUGGAGUUCGGUAGGGGGGAUCGGAAUUCCUGGUGUAGCGGUGAAAUGCGCAGAUAUCAGGAGGAACACCGGUGGCGAAGGCGGAUCUCUGGGCCGUAACUGACGCUGAGGAGCGAAAGCAUGGGGAGCGAACAGG
Molecule: ribosomal RNA, 254 nt
Filed under: uncultured bacterium
Lineage: Bacteria
Description: partial 16S ribosomal RNA
Rfam family: Bacterial small subunit ribosomal RNA
Source: RNAcentral